RNAcentral lists this ribosomal RNA (167 nucleotides) under uncultured bacterium. RNAcentral's name for it is "partial 16S rRNA". It matches the Rfam family "Bacterial small subunit ribosomal RNA", at positions 338 to 522 of the family's 1533-position model. The record is from RNAcentral.
CCUACGGGGGGCGGCAGUGAGGAAUAUUGCACAAUGGAGGAAACUCUGAUGCAGCAACGCCGCGUGGAGGAUGACGCAUUUCGGUGUGUAAACUCCUUUUAUGAGCCAAGAUAAUGACGGUAGCUCAUGAAUAAGCACCGGCUAACUCCGUGCCAGCAGCCCCGGUC